Long non-coding RNA from Bombus huntii, 4680 nucleotides. RefSeq lists it as uncharacterized. The record is from RefSeq and is a predicted model, not a curated record. NCBI's taxonomy places the organism in Eukaryota, Metazoa, Arthropoda, Insecta, Hymenoptera, Apidae. The transcript is spliced from 2 exons.
UUGAGAAAAUAGAAAGUUGAUCAAUUCGUCUUUCGAGAGAUUCGUAGGUGUAAUAUUUUAUAUGUAUGAUGUUCGAGGCAACGUGUCGAGGACGAAAACAUUGUAGAAAAGAUACGACCAGGAAGUCUAUAGAACGACAUAAAAUGAAGUCAGCGAAUCAAUUGAAUUGCUGAAUCAGGAUCCUCGUUCGAAUCAUUAGUUCGUUACGAGAUUGGUCUCGUCAAUCGAGUCGCCCUAAUCGAAAUUUUCUCUCUUGACCUAAAAUUCGAAUAUGAUUUCUGUUUUUACGAUCUUUACGUUCUACGCGUUAUUUUUUAUUACGUUCAUUAGCAUUCGUAACCUAGAAUCAUGGAAAAGUUGAGAUCACGUGAACGUUAUUAAAGUUACCCAAUAUUUCUGAUAGUUAUAACAAAUUGAAUAGAAUCGUACGCGAAUUUUUGCUCUGGUUAGACCAAUUAAUUUGCACAUUAUCAAUAGAGAAGAAUUGUGUGAAUAUGUUAGUUUGUCAGGUUUGACAAAUGUCUGUAAUCAAAGACCAGCAUGCGGUAGGUUCAUGUUAUCGCUCGUAGAUGAUUAUAUAAGUUCAGAUUACGCGAACGAGAAAUUAAUAUUCGCAGUUAUAAGACGUAUACUUUGCUAAAGAGAAGCUACGAUCGAAGGAUACGGUAGACGAAACAAAAAUAUUUAAUUCAACGUUUGUCUUUAGAUCCCUGAUGCAACGUGACGAAUGUAUCAUUUCGAAAUUUAAAUAUAAAUUUUUACCAACUUCGUUGAUAUUCUCGAGAAAGUAGAAUUUGUUAAAGUAAAUGAUACGAAUUAGCGUUUCAAGGAUCUGAGGAACGUUUCCCGGAUAUUCAUGCUGAUUUCUACGCCGCUGAGUGACGUGUCGACGACACGCGGACAUUUCCACGGUAGCAAACAUAACGAGGAAAGCGAAGAUAAGAGAUAAGAAGCGUGUCAAAACCGAUACUGUCACGAAAAAAGAAGAAACCGGCUGGUAACUUGUUAUACGUAUGCUCGUGCAUUUGCAACGAGUAACUUCUUUCCUAACGAUCGAUGUAGCGAACAGCAGAAAAGGAUCCAAUAGUAAACGAAAAAAAUUAAAUACAUAUAUAAAAUUAAAUAUAUAUAUAAAUAAAAUUAAAUAUAUAUAUAUAAUAAAAAGAAAGGUAUACUUAUACCAGUACAAGAAGGUAAAAAAAAUAUAUUCGUUAAGAAAAUGAAGCAUAAGGUAGAUCGUGAUUCUGAUAAGAAUGAAAAUAUUUACUUUCUCGAAUAUCCCGCCACUGUAACCGAUAAAAUAAAGCGACGAUUAAGACGCUGAUAACGAACGUGCCGCAUUCGUACUCUCGUAUAAUAAUGCGCAAUAGACUUUAUCUAAUCCCGUCAUGAGCUACAGAGAACAACGAUAUACAUAUAGCAUUCUAUAUUUGGGCAUUCAAAAUAUUUUAGGCAACUCGCGCGCAUGUGCAUGCGACACCGCGUGCUUGAUACUUCGAGGAACACGGAACCGAGGAACCUUCGUAACAAGAAAGAACAUUACGAAGGAAAGCUUAUCGAUGGUAGACAAUCGGUCGAUACGUCACAGCACGUCAAUGACGAAUUAACCACUUGUCCGUUGAACGCGGGAUUAUUCAUCGUUUAAAAUUAGUACUUUUUUCCUCGAUCGGCCGUGAUUGUCUUAUCGAGCGUGUAAUUCAACGUGAAUCGGUCAUCGAGAUAAGGUAAGGAUGAUCAGCCUCAUUACACACGUGCUCCUAUGUGAGUGCACAGACAAAUCGAUGCGAUCCAUACAUCGCUGAUCUGUCACGUUUUCAAGCGGAAUAAUAUUUGUUAUUUCUGUGUACGAGACCGAGAGACCUUCGAGACGAAACACAAAAAUAUUUCGAAUGCAUUUUCGAAGGUUAAUCAUUUGUUCAUUAUCUAGAAAGCGCCUGAAUUGUCGAAACCUGUGUGAUCGUCGCUAUGAAACAAUGAGGUUCCAUCAGUAUCAUAUUCGGUCACGUUUUAUCCUAACACUUGCAUGCCCGUAAGCUAGAAUGACAUCGAUAGCGGACGAUACAUCAUAGUGUGAGGUCAGGCGAAACACGUGACUAGACUGACGUGAUGCACGCAAAAGGUUGCACGAGAGAUCGCUCAUUACUGUUAUCUUUUUAUCUCGGCGAGAUGCUAGAUACGAUAAACGAGGCAAAAACUUCAUACGGAAGCGGCUCGUUUGCGUUCUCUCAGUAUCUCGCGAUCGUAAUCAUUGAGUUUUUGAAGUAAAUCGAGCAGAGAAUGCAUUCUGACAGAGUAUGGAGAAAAGAAAAAGAACAAUAACCACGUAUAUCUCGAGAGAACCAUAAAUCGACUCGGGGAACGUUAGGCUGUUUGAACUUUACCGAAACGUGUUUCUGUAGUCCCGACACACAUUCGAGUACCUAUCUAACGUGCGACGUGUUCGAAGUAUUCAAAGGUUUUUUCAAUGUGUGCCGCGUUUUAAUUGCGACUUAAUUAUUCACGAGUCUCGCGUUACUUUGUAGCCGGAAAGCGACCACAAAUGCAAGGCUAGGAAGAGGGGGGUUAUGUGAUUACAAGCGAGGCAGGGAACCGUGAAACAUGUUUCUUAUUCGCGGUUUCGAUGCCGCGUUGUAAUUAAUGCUCUAUCGAGUUUUGUCAUUAAACGUAUAGUAUACGAAAAUAUUAGUCUGUUGGUACGUUAUGAUACAAGUUUAUUGAAUCACUGCUUUCUCGCAAAUGGACAAUGACAGUGGGCCCUUGAGUUGCUUUUUUCAUUUUUUUUUCUCCUUUUGAAUCGCGUAUGUGGUAAGGUACCAAAAUUCCUUUCACGCCCGUGGCUCGUUUUCACAUUUUCAAUGUAGCCAUUGACAGAAUGGUAAUCAUGAUGACAAUAAUAGUAAUAAUAAUUCAUGACAAUAAUUAAUAAUAGCGACAAUAAUAAUAAUGAUAGUAAUAAUAAUAAUAUACAAUAAUAACGAGAUAUGCUAACUGUCGAUAUAUCAAGAGAUAACAAGUAAAAUAUACAUAUGGUCGUUUCUUCGUAGAUUUCUUCUCGAUAUAGCAAUCAAAUGACGAAAACAAUUUUCAUAUUUUCCCGCGUUUCGUCUCGAACGAUAUACAUCUAAUUCUUACGAAAUUUUGCCUUUGAUUUGCGAUAUGGUUGCUGUGAUGCAAAUGAUUAAUGAUUAACGCGCAUAGGUUAGGUUCGGCUCCUACAAAUAUCCAUCUCUUUCUCUGACAAAUUUUCUCGAUCAUUUUCCGCUUGCGCUCUCUUUUUCUUUUACAUAUUCUCUUUCAUACUCGUACAUACACUCUCUCUUUCUCUCUUACUCUCUCACUCUCUCACUCUCAGAUUCGUUUAUCAAAUUUUAGAGCUGCUCUCUGCGGUACUAAUUAAUCGAGUCAUAUAUAUGUAUAUAGUCGCAAUAUAUAUAUAUAUAUAUACAAUACAUGUUUCGUGACAGCGAACAGGCCGUCGCAGCACAAUAGUUUAAAUUACUUAUACGAACGAUCUUCGUAACAAAAAACAUCUUCGAUCUGUUCAUAAUUCAUAAAAAUUGUAUUAUUUCGUUUCUAAGAUGCCCGUCGAUCUAGUUUCCUUUCAUCGUUUCGACUUAUCACCUCAUUUCGAAUCGAUGUCUCAGAUUUUUGACCCAUGAUUCAUUCUUUAAACUAACAUAAUUUUCAAAAAGAUUUUCUCCAUCGAUUUGGUCGAGAGGAGAAACAAGAUGGCACGGGCAUCGUGUACCUUUCGAUUCGCACAAAAUUCAUCACGCGCAUGAGCGUUUUUUCUAUUUUCAUCCUAACAUUUGCCGUCGAUUUAAGUAUUCGAGAUGGUACGUAAAAGUGCUAGCGUGUAGGUACAAAGAGGAAAAUAUAUAUGUAUAUUAAUUAGCGUAGGAUGAAAAUAGCGAGUCUUUUCUUUUUUGGAAAAAUAGCUUCGAAACGGUUUGUUAGUCGCCCGUCUAGCUUCGAACAUACGACGCGUCGAAGGGGCGCGAGCCAAGAGGAUUUUAGACGAUUAACUGUGACGAUCGCAAUCUAUAAUGCUCUUCUCUUUUAUUUACAAAUUCAUCUAGAUAUACAAGCUAUGCCUGAGGCUAGAAAAAAUGCGAUCACUCGAGCGCAGGGAGAUUGAUUCUCGAUCGCGACAUGAACUCGAGAUUUUUAACUCGAUCUCCGUGCCACCGCGUGAAAAAAGUCGACGUACGUUUACAUCGCACAAAGACAAUUUUUUCAUCGUAUCAUUUAUUCAUUUAUUUUGUUCUAUUAAAGAGGAUUCCAGAGGGAAACGGCUCAAAAAUGUAUACAAGUAAUUUUCCUUGUAAAAACUCCGUUAAUCUAUCGAACGUUGCGAAUCACCAAAACGACGUCACAUUCGUUUUAUCGAUGAAUUUAUGCAUAUAUCAAUUGCAUUAUAUUCAUUGCAAAGUUGUGCACGCUCUUAAAUAUUCAUCGGAGAAAUACAAAUGAUGCCCAGGUUAACUUUUGAACCGUACGCACCUAGAAAAAAAAUUGAUUAUCGAAACGUUUCUCGAUCAUAAAUAACUUCUAUCUGAUUCUCAACCGACUGGUGAUAACAAGAGUAACGUUUAUUUAUUUUUCUAAAUAGAUCUUUUUAUCCAUCUAACACAUCACAUUACCGAAUUACUUCUUUUUCCUUUUUUUUUUUUUUUUUUU